GAUGAACGCUGGCGGCGUGCUUAACACAUGCAAGUCGAACGGUGAAGGCGGAGCUUGCUCUGCUGGAUCAGUGGUGAACGGGUGAGUAACACGUGAGCAAUCUGCCCCUGACUCUGGGAUAAGCGCUGGAAACGGCGUCUAAUACUGGAUACGAGCUGCGAAGGCAUCUUCAGCAGCUGGAAAGAAUUUCGGUCAGGGAUGAGCUCGCGGCCUAUCAGCUUGUUGGUGAGGUAAUGGCUCACCAAGGCGUCGACGGGUAGCCGGCCUGAGAGGGUGACCGGCCACACUGGGACUGAGACACGGCCCAGACUCCUACGGGAGGCAGCAGUGGGGAAUAUUGCACAAUGGGCGAAAGCCUGAUGCAGCAACGCCGCGUGAGGGACGACGGCCUUCGGGUUGUAAACCUCUUUUAGCAGGGAAGAAGCGAAAGUGACGGUACCUGCAGAAAAAGCGCCGGCUAACUACGUG
RNAcentral lists this ribosomal RNA (468 nucleotides) under uncultured bacterium. RNAcentral's name for it is "partial 16S ribosomal RNA". It matches the Rfam family "Bacterial small subunit ribosomal RNA", at positions 28 to 507 of the family's 1533-position model. The record is from RNAcentral.